CGGAGGGUCAUUACAAGUGACCCCGGUCUAACCACCGGGAUGUUCAUAACCCUUUGUUGUCCGACUCUGUUGCCUCCGGGGCGACCCUGCCUUCGGGCGGGGGCUCCGGGUGGACACUUCAAACUCUUGCGUAACUUUGCAGUCUGAGUAAACUUAAUUAAUAAAUUAAAACUUUUAACAACGGAUCUCUUGGUUCUGGCAUCGAUGAAGAACGCAGCGAAAUGCGAUAAGUAAUGUGAAUUGCAGAAUUCAGUGAAUCAUCGAAUCUUUGAACGCACAUUGCGCCCCCUGGUAUUCCGGGGGGCAUGCCUGUUCGAGCGUCAUUUCACCACUCAAGCCUCGCUUGGUAUUGGGCAACGCGGUCCGCCGCGUGCCUCAAAUCGACCGGCUGGGUCUUCUGUCCCCUAAGCGUUGUGGAAACUAUUCGCUAAAGGGUGUUCGGGAGGCUACGCCGUAAAACAACCCCAUUUCUAAGGUUGACCUCGGAUCAGGUAGGGAUACCCGCUGAACUUAAGCAUAUCAAUAAGCGGAGGAAAAGAAACCAACAGGGAUUGCUCUAGUAACGGCGAGUGAAGCAGCAAUAGCUCAAAUUUGAAAUCUGGCGUCUUCGACGUCCGAGUUGUAAUUUGUAGAGGAUGCUUCUGAGUAACCACCGACCUAAGUUCCUUGGAACAGGACGUCAUAGAGGGUGAGAAUCCCGUAUGCGGUCGGAAAGGUGCUCUACACGUAGCUCCUUCGACGAGUCGAGUUGUUUGGGAAUGCAGCUCUAAAUGGGAGGUAAAUUUCUUCUAA
This 792-nucleotide ribosomal RNA is filed under the name fungal endophyte. RNAcentral's name for it is "eukaryotic LSU rRNA". The stretch from base 478 to 792 matches the Rfam family "Eukaryotic large subunit ribosomal RNA", at positions 1 to 313 of the family's 3401-position model. The record is from RNAcentral. Lineage: Eukaryota; Fungi.